Molecule: long non-coding RNA, 1714 nt
Filed under: Canis lupus familiaris (dog)
Lineage: Eukaryota; Metazoa; Chordata; Mammalia; Carnivora; Canidae
Description: lncRNA (ENSCAFG00000058717.1)
Source: RNAcentral
UUUGUGCGGUGGUCGGUCCGGCUGCUCUCGUGCCGUGGUGCUGUGGCGGCUCGAUGCGGCGCCCACUCUCCUACACCGGGGCCCUGCUGGGGAGGGGGCGGCAGCCUCGGGUUGAGCAGGAUGAGCUGCCCUUACAGACUAGAGUUUCUGAUGUGCCCGUGACGGCGCUUUUGGGAGCUGACCCAUCCCAGGGCGGAGGGGGGCGUUAGGCUGCCGUCGCCCACCCCCCGCUGACCUUUGGUGUCCUCCCAGACCCCUGGUCCUCGCAGGCCGAUCCGCAGCGCUACCAGGGUGCUUGAAGAUUUCCGCCGCUGUUACCCUUGGUUCAAGCUUGAUUAUUCUGGAAGCCUACCUGGGGCGGUGCCCUUUCAAAGGUUAGGUACUAAUCAGAUACUGAAGGGCUGAAGUUUGUAAUUCAUCCUCUUGGAUCAGUGCUAUUGAAAUGACUGUACCCUUGGAAUGGCUCCUGCCACUCGAACCUGCAGUGCAGUCUGUGAAGAGUCACGUCCUUUUUCCUUGGCUGCUAUGAUUUUGUUUAUUCAUGAGAGACCCGCAGAGAGAGGCAGUCUCCAUGCAGGAAGCCCGAUGCAGGACUCCAUCCUGGGACUCUGGAGUCACGGCCUGAGCCAAAGGCAGACGCUCAACUGCUGAGCCAACCAGGCGUCCCAUAAUGUGGGUCUUCAACCCAUGACCCUGAGAUGGAGUCACAUGCCUUACUGAGAGCCAGUCGAGUGGUGACACCACUAAGGACUUUUGUGUACAUAAACUCUUAUACAUACAUGUGAGUUUGAAUAGUCUCCUUUCCUUACAUAUCCAAAUCAUGCUGGUGUUACCUUAAAAAUAACACCAAAAUCUGACUCCUCUCAUACCUCCACUACCAUCCCACUCUGGUAGGAGCUAUCACCAGCUCACCUAUAUGACUGCAGCAAAACCCAGCUGGUCUCCUGGCUUCCACCCUUACCCCAUUACAGGCAUAUCCACACAGCAGCCAGAAAUUUCUCUCCAAAUCAUGACUUGAGACUUGUCUCUCGCUUGGCUCAGUAUCCUGCAAGGGCUCAUAUUUCACUGAGAGGGAAACCCAGAGUCUUCACAGAGACCACCCAACAAGGUCCUCCCAAGUCUAGCUGUGUUGUCUCUGACCUCAUCUACUCUCCACUCUGCCUCAGCCACAGAGCAUGAAGCCAGGAGCUUGUGGCCAUUCUCCUGUCAAUGUUCAGGGGGUAAAGAUUUUGCUUGAUGGCUGGGGUCCCAACCACAUGCCUUGGUCUGUAGGGUAGACAGAAAUUUGUGUCAACAGAGCUUGUGGAUGUAAUUUGGCUGGUGAGGAAAUACUAGAGUGGAGAAAUAAAAACUAUCCUGGACAUUGUUUGUGGACUGUAACUUUAUGCAUUUGGAAAACAAUUUGGCAAUACCUCUGAAGUAUGCACAUUCUCUUCAACCCAGUGCUUCCACUUCUGGAAUACACCCUAAAUACACCCUGACCAAACUUGCAUGCGUUAUGUAAUGUAUGUUGUAGAUUAUGUAGACAAAAGUCCUUCGUAAUGAGUUUUCGGUAAUGGGUAAUCUCAAGGGGGGAGGGAGAGGAAACAAAUGUUGUCCAACAAUUAAAUGGACAAAUUGUGGUAUAUUCAUAAAAUCUAAGACUGUAGAGCAGUGAUGUGUUACAUGCAGUGGUGGUAUGACUAAUGUGCCAGCAUGUAUUAAUCUCACAAAC